This is a long non-coding RNA of Chelonia mydas (Green sea turtle), 1551 nucleotides long. RefSeq lists it as uncharacterized. The record is from RefSeq and is a predicted model, not a curated record. NCBI's taxonomy places the organism in Eukaryota, Metazoa, Chordata, Testudines, Cheloniidae. The transcript has 3 exons.
UAUGGAACCGUUUCUAUUGAUGACUCUUCAUAACUGGUAAUGAGUAAUAAUAAAUAAUUGACAGGUAUUGCUAACUGGAGAUGUGAACAGACCAGGUGGCCAUUCCUACCAGGGAGAAGUGAGGGUAAGUGGCUGUCCCGGUCAAGGAGGUAAGAAAUACCAGUCUCCAAACAUCCAUGUGUAUAUCAAGUGGUGUGGAGUUUACUUUCAGGGAGAAGAACUGUGGUGGACCUUACUUGUCACGGGGAGAGUGUGAAAAGCAGAGGCAAGACAAAGCAACAUGGACUAGCCAGCUGCUCAAUCCAUGGAGGACUCCAAUGAGAAGACGCUGUUAUUUCUAGGAACAAACAGAAAACAAACAGUCACUUCAAAUAGUUCAGCUAGUUGCAAAUCUGAAUAGGAAGCAAGUCAGCAGAACACAGACAUGGAGAUGAGAGAAAUGCAGCUGAUUUGAACUUUGAGGGUGUGAAAACUUCAGGAAGUUGCGAGAAGAUCUGUGAUAUCUACAGGAAGGAAACCAGUGAAACUCAUCACUGCUGCCAAGAGGUAAGGAAUUCACCUCAUAAUGGAGAAAUUAAUGGAUCUGGUUUCUCUUCAGGUGAAAGAAAUGCAGCUGAUCUGAUCUCCCAGGGGUUGAGGACUAUAAGCAGUCAUGUGACUGAAGAAUACAGGAACACAUGUUCCCAGACCUGCAGAGGGGGAAAAAGUUGCCUUCCUUGACUAGAACGGGAAGACAAUCCCUUAUCACCGUCAAGUUUCAAACGCACAAUGCAGGAGACCGUCCCUGACAGAGGAGAAGAGUUACAGACACUCAGGAUUUGAGCACAAAGGAAUAGGAAUGGAGCUGAACAGAUCCAGCACCUGAAAAGACAAUCGGAUGUCAUAAGAUAUGAAACCAUGAAAAAGACCCUUCAUCAAUAAAGCAACAGAAUUGGCUCUGAGGAGAGGUAAGCAGCAUUGGGUAAGUCUACCAAAUGCUCAUACAAUCAACUCUACAAAAUUGCUAACUUCCAUUGUGUCAAAGAGUUUGUUACAGCUGAUCACACAUCUCAGGAUCGAAGAGGAGCUCAGGGGCAUGGCAGACCUCAGGGGAUUCAUCUUUAUCAGGAGAUGAUGAACCUGCUUGUCAGUGGCUUUGGUUAGACUUUCAAAUGAAGGAAACACAGCCAGUGUGGUAAGUAUUCAAGAAAUAAUGUUCAAAAUUUGCCUGGGGUCACCUCUUGGGAUAAGGGGAGCAGCUGGUCCCAUCUGCUGGGGUGGAAGCAAAGAAGAAAGAACUGGCCACUGGUUAGUACUGGGACACAGAAAAUCCCCUGGAGGGGCGUGGGACACGGUGUGCAACCACAGUGUGCAGUGGGUCCUUUCCCCACUGUGGUCCUGGCUCACAUGCACAGGGUGAAACUGAUCGCCAUGUUUGGGGUCAGGAAGGAAUUUUCCUCCAGGGCAGAUUGGCCAGAGACCCUGGAGGUUUUUCGCCUUCCUCUGGGGCAUCGAGCAGGGACCAGCCCUUUUGGGCUUUUUAGGAACUGACAAUAAAAUCCAUUCGAGAGA